Molecule: long non-coding RNA, 457 nt
Organism: Drosophila bipectinata
Lineage: Eukaryota; Metazoa; Arthropoda; Insecta; Diptera; Drosophilidae
Source: RefSeq, a predicted model, not a curated record
UCGAAAAAUAUCGAAUCCUAGUAGGCUAGGCGUAUAAUUUUGGCAUGUUUCACAUUCGGCCUAUAAAAAGCAUCAGUAUUCACUUUUCAUUCGGACAGACGACAUCAAAAUUUUUUCUCCAGCUCCCAUUUAUUGCUUAACUAAAUUCUUUGAUUCAACAUGUGCGGACCCUGUGGCUGUGGACCCUGUGGACCUUGCGGUCCCUGCUGUGGACCUUGCGGUCCUUGCUGUGGACCCUGCGGGCCUUGCGGACCUUGCUGUGGCCCAUGCGGACCAUGUUGUGGGCCUUGUGGACCCUGCUGCGGACCGUGUGGCAAGAGGAACGGCCUUCAAUGCCCCUGAAACAUUGCCCCUGGCCACCAAAAUCUUCUCAAGAAUUGUUGAGUAAUGUUUGUGGAGGAUAGAGACAACUUCUAAAGAUAAACAGUCUUCAAUAAAAGGGAAUACUACAAAAAUA